CAUUGAAAUGCUGGUUCUUGUCUGAUCACCAAAAUUAAGCAACAUCAGGUCUAAUCUGUACUUAGAUGGGUGACCACUUUGGAAUGCCAGGUGUUGUAAG
Molecule: non-coding RNA, 100 nt
Organism: Acanthosepion pharaonis
Lineage: Eukaryota; Metazoa; Mollusca; Cephalopoda; Sepiida; Sepiidae
Source: the annotation of a GenBank genome assembly